Molecule: non-coding RNA, 1510 nt
Organism: Camellia sinensis
Lineage: Eukaryota; Viridiplantae; Streptophyta; Magnoliopsida; Ericales; Theaceae
Source: RefSeq, a predicted model, not a curated record
UAAAUAAACUAGCAUUGACGAAAACUAUGAACUAGCAUCAUCUUUAUGUUUUCAAGAGUUAACUGGUGUUUGAUAAAAUUGGAAGUUGAAAACUAAAAGUUGAGGAAAAUUCUAAUAUACACUCCUUUAAAAAAUGUGUAUCAUAUGAACCCCUAAUUAUGUUAUUUUAUUCUUUAGUUAUGUUAUUUUCUUCUUUAGUUAUGAACAAUUUUCUUUACACACCAGGUUUUUCCCCUUUAAAUCCACAUAUAUGUGUUUCUCAGUGUUUUAAUGUAUAUAUUUUUGUUUGAAGGGUUAUCGAGAGUAUGGUGUUUUGAAUUGCUUUAGUUUCUCAACUUUAUGGGGAGAUCCUAGAAGAGAAUGGUAUUGACUUGGCUGAAAUGAAGAUUUUGAGGAGGAAAAUGGAGGAGCUUGGGAUUGAUAGCAACAUCUGUAAACCAGGGCAGUACAACCACUUAAGUUGCCCAAUGUUCGCUUGCUGUAUCUAUCAUGGGCAUUUUAUUGUGUUAAGAAUUCAGCUUUGUGGACCUGUUUUCAAGCAAAAUGUGGCUGGAGAGGCAAUAUAGGGCCUAUGUAAAUGGAAAUUCAACGUCUGGAAGGAUUGCUCAUAUACCGAAAGUUAAGCAGACUAGAGAAAUCACCGAGAAAAGUUUGUAUUUGGAACCAACUUGUAGUGAGGUCUGGAGAUUUUUAAUAAAUUUUGCUGACGUUCUGGGCUUUGGCCAUUUAUGCUGGAUGAAUUUGUUCAAGCUUUUCAUGAUUAUGAUCCAAGGUUGUUAGGGGAGAUUCAUGUAGCUCUUCUAAGAUCCAUAAUUAAAGAUAUUGAGGAUGUAGCAAGGACACCCUCUUCGACUGGGUUGGGAGUAAAUCAAAAUACUGCUGCCAAUCCUGGAGGUGGCCAUCCACAGAUUGUUGAAGGGGCGUAUGCUUGGAGCUUUGAUAUACGCAGCUGGUAGUGCCACUUAAAUCCAUUGACCUGGCCUGAGAUAUUGCGACAAUUUGCUCUCUCUGCUGGAUUUGGGCCAAAAUUGAAGAGAAGGAGUAUUGAAAAAGCAUAUCUUCGUAAUGAAUUAAGGACAAGUUUUGGUAUAAUUCAGCAGAAGCAUAUAUAAAUUGUUGCAAACAAAUAUUAUAUGAAGGCCUGUCACCAAGAUCUGGAGGACUUGGCCAGCUCAAGAUCAGCAUGAAUGUGAAGUCAACAAAUUAAUCUCACUUCCGUUUUUUGUGCUUGUAUUCCUUGUCCUGAGCUCAGUAGCUCCUCCUUUAUGGGGUAAAUUAACCUAACUUUUGUUUUCCUUGCAUUCCUUGGUUCUCUCUCCAGUUCAUUGGAAUAUUUAAAUCAAUUUUCCUGAAAAGUUGUUGGCCACUUGCUUAGGUUACAAUUCAGUCAACCUUCUUGUUGGUUACAAUUCAUUUUUGGAUAUGUUAUUUUGUUAUUAAUGGUGAUUGGAUAUUAAAUUGAAUGGGAAAGUGAAUUAAUGUUACAUUUUGAAUGGGAGUUAUUAUUUCA